This 3978-nucleotide long non-coding RNA is filed under the name Triticum aestivum (bread wheat). Its description in RNAcentral is "long non-coding RNA (TAES_LNC014421)". Lineage: Eukaryota; Viridiplantae; Streptophyta; Magnoliopsida; Poales; Poaceae. The record is from RNAcentral.
AAAAGUGUUCAAUCAUUUGGCAUAGCAAGGUAAUAGGUCCAUAUUAUUAUAUAGGUGACAGUCUUACAAGGUGGAUGAUAGAGUAAAUCAUUAAAUUGAAAUUAAAGCCUAACAUGCUCCAAAAGACAGGCAAACAGAAGAGGAAUAUCAAUCAGGUGGUCAGCAAACCCUUUGUAGAAACUUUGAAAGAUUAUGUCCCUACUCAUGAAAUAAAGAGAAAUAUAUUCUAAGAAAACAGAGGGAUUGGGAGGACUGGAGAGCAGCCAAAGCAGAGGAUCUUCUCAUUGUUGCAUCACUGACAUCCACUCGAACCACAUCUCGCUGGAAUCGUCCACGCCGUAUUCUUCCACUGCACCACCUCUUCCUCGUAGUUGCCGUCAGGCCUAGCUCCUCGUCUUGAAACACAAACAUGCUUGGGUCUAUGCCAAUACCUUGCGACUUGAAAUUAUCUGAAACCAACAUCAUUAUGGUUAGAUAAAAUGCAUCUAGAAUAUGGAUUGACAGCUUGAGUAUCACACGGCAGUCCACAUAAUAAAUAUACGCGGCAGUCCACCAGAUGGUUUGCACUUCACUGCAAUCGAAUCAACAGAGACCUUUAUCUCUUAAUCCUGUACUCAACUCGAUGCCAUCUCUUUGGAACUUUGUUUGAGCAAACACAGCUAUCCUUUGGUUAACCUAUAUUAUAGAAAUAGAUAUAUCAUCUCACAGUAAACAAGGAGAAAAGAGAAGAUCUACUGACACUACAACAAAAGGCAUGGAUAUUGAAACAGUCCGCUAAAUUUCAAUGUCAAACCAACGAAACAUAUCAUUGUCCAGGAGAAUGUAAAUAUUACCAUGUCAACAAAACGAAGCUAGAUGCUCAGUUUGUGAAUAAUUAUGAAGAUAGCAUCAUAAUUAUUAAAAAUACACAUAAGAAAUGAUGAUGUACCACUUUGAGUAAAUGGAAAUUAGAGAGAUAAAUGACAGUUCAUGAGGCAACUUCUUGAUUCCCUCCACCACUACUGUGAUCAACGAGAAGUCAUUUUCAUCACUAAUUCCAUCAGAAAAAAAUUGAGGCCAUUAUUCAAUAGCACAAAAGCGUAGUUCCUGAUGGAUAACAAAAAAACACUGUUCCUCCUCUACUACAAAAUUCAGAAAGGAAAAAGAUAAAUAAUAUUCAGUAUAUCGUCACAGUCGUAUACCAACAAGAGUCGCAUCACACAGCCACACAAGAUUUAUUUGUUCUUUUCACUUGCUUUGCCUUGUAGUGGAAAUAAACCAAACAUAUGUUGUCAAAUAAACUGCCAAUAUCGCCACAAUGUCCGAUGGCCAUGUCGAUCACAUCCUAGACUAUUUUCUUCCUAUUUUUUUUCCACUGUUUUAUGUGGUAGUUCAAUCGGUUCCUUGAUUUGUUCAGUUCAGAUAAGUAUGCCGGAUGAUUAUCAUGAAAAAGGUAGAGUCGUCCAGGUUCCCAGCUUUAUAUUUCAGUAUAGUGUCAGCUCUUUUUACUGCUAAUUAAGUGUUUAACUAUCAUUACUUUCUUCUAUAUUAAGUUCCAUGUGCAUUUUACACAGCAUUUAUCUUCCGAGAGAUCUCUUCAGCUCGAGCAAGCAUAAACAAGGUUGUGUGUAUCACUUCUUAUUAGAUGUGAAGCUACUUCCUGUUGGGGGUCACACUGAUAAGGUAAACAUGUGUGUUCAUACUAAUUACGCCAACUUGUAAGCUCUGUCAGUGUAGAGGUAGCUUAGAAUUUUUAUAGUUUUAUUGGGAUUCAGGAACUAAACAUAAGAAGUAGGUAAACUGUCACAUUGCAGUGUCGCAAAGAAAUGUCCUUCUAACCUAAAAGCCCUAGCAAUUGUGAAAACAUAAUGAACAUAAAUCUCUUCACUCGCUUAGCCCCAACUUAAAACCACAGUUGGAACUUGAAGAAACACAAUAGCAUGCCUUUGAUAGGAUUACUGCGCACUACUGCAAAUCCGGAAUGCUACAUCUAAAUAAGUCUAACCAAUAGAGCUACUCCAAACAGCAACUACCAGGGGGAGAUGGAUAGAGGCACAGGGAAGAUUAGAGGGGCGAGAGCACCUUGGUCGGGGCCGUCGUGCUUGUCGUCCGUGCAUGGAGCAGCCCGUGGCUAUCACGUGCGAUUGCAAGCACGGUGUAGGACGAGCAAGAGGUCGUGCUUGGUUGCAGCCAGCUCGAGGCCUUGAAGACGACGACCUGCGUGAUGAAACCGACCACAUCAGAAAGGAAAUUAAAUUAGGCCUCCAUGAGUAACAACAACGCAACAUCCAAAUCGAAUCGAAUCGAACCAAGGGGAGAAAAGAGGGUCCAGGACCUUGUUGACAGUCGCGGUAUUAACGUUGGAGGGAACAGCCGCGUCGUCGUCAGCCGAUCAACCAUCUUUCUUUCAUGGAUUUCUUCUUACUCUUCCUUUUCCUAUGAGCAUCAUAUCACGGACGAGAAAAAGGGAAUCAGGAAACAGGCACAAAGAUGAACAAUAUUAGGCUGCAAAACCUACUGUAACAGGAAGGGUGGCACCCGUAAAAACACAGGUGCAGAAAACUCAUAUGUUGAACAUUUAUAUUAUCAUUGCUCCUUCUAGCAACUUGAGCCUUCACCUUGCUCCAACUUAUUCGGAAGCGCAAUCAAUAACCGGCCAAGAAUGAACGUCAUCCCCAUAUUUUGGUUCCUUCAUUGCAUUGAGACAAAUUAUCAGAACAAAUAAUUAAUUAACCUAGGCAUUGUGAAUUCUCACCAUCCAAAAAACAAGUUUGAGAGAUAAAACAAUGAUUGAGAGAAAUCUAUGGCAUGUGCUUCCUUUAGCAUUGUCAUUAAAACAGAACAUGGUACCACUAAAUAUCCAUUGGCUCUAACGUUUUCCCUUCUUCCUCACCAGAACAUGAACAAGAAAGCACAAGCAUCAAUGCUCACAAAUUUGGACAUGUAGGGCUGGCUGCCAGGGAGCGCCGGAGGCAUGGCAGCGGCAUGGUCGGCCGCUUGCUGGUAGCACCGGAGAAGACAUGGCAGUGGUCGUGCUUGCUAGCAAGGCAGGCAACCAAGGGGCAAGGGCUUGAAUGAACAGAUCGGCCGAAGAGCCGCCUCGCACGACCUCCACCUCUGCCACCUGUCCAGCCUGUCAGGCGACGAUCGAGCCACCUCCAGUAUCUCCCUGCCUGAAGCCGCUGUCUGCACUACCACCUCCCACAUCAAUCGCUGGAGAUAGCAAUCUCUUGCCUCUCAAUGUCAAAGAAGGAUUAGUAGGCUGAUUAAUUAGGUGGUUCUUCACAUAAGAAGGUGUUGCCUGUUAAGUACGGAUAUCUCACAGGACCUUGAUACUCAUAACUCACAAAUCAAAUUACCCUUAAUUUGGUGUGUUUCCCAAUAAGAAACCCAUAAUAAAAUAGGAAAAGCUCUACACCAACAGACAAAACAUUGUGAUAUGGGACAAAAUUCCAACUUACCCUGCAACCAAUCAACCAAUCACAAAAAAGAAGAAGACAAAAGAAAGAAAAGGAUCCUCACCUCAUAGUCGCAAUCGACCAACUGCAACACCUCCAUCUUUCUAGUCAGUUGGUAGUUGGCUCCCUCCAACGCCUCAGACGCGCUGAAUGAGCCGGCAAGAACCCUACAAAAUCAACAAGUUCAGGACGGGGCAAAACGACAAAAGAAUGAGAGGAACCACCGUACCUCUGCAACUCGCCGCCUUGAGCUAGGGCCUCCGUCAGAACCUCGAUGUCAUCCCCUUCUUCCCCUCCUCAGAAACAAUCAUGGCGGGCUGGUGGAACGUGAAGACGAGAAGGUUUGGGGGAGAAGCGGAUCUGAGGAGGACACCUUGUUCGGUGGCCGACGCCGGAGGAGCAGGGAUGGGCGGCGGCGGACGCGGUGGGGUUUGCUUCGUGAGGAAGGGAGACGAGUAGAACGUGUCCAGGUAACGAGCGCCCUUUUCUUUUUUUCUCCCAACGCCUUUUUUUUUUCUUUUCUUCCAUCGACACAGCGGCC